UUAAUUGAAACCAAAUUAGAGGUAAAUUAUUGUUAAUAAUUAAAUUGAUUAAUAAUCCAAUUAAA
This 65-nucleotide transfer RNA is filed under the name Andrena hunanensis. RNAcentral describes it as "tRNA-Asn". The record is from RNAcentral. RNAcentral also lists the same sequence under 1 other name. Lineage: Eukaryota; Metazoa; Arthropoda; Insecta; Hymenoptera; Andrenidae.